CCGUUGGUAGUUGAGUGGUAGAAUUUUUGCCUUCCAUGCGUGAGACCGGGGUUCAAUUCCCGGCCAAUGCA
This 71-nucleotide transfer RNA is filed under the name Loxodonta africana (African savanna elephant). It matches the Rfam family "tRNA". From Rfam's summary of the family: Transfer RNA (tRNA) molecules are approximately 80 nucleotides in length. Lineage: Eukaryota; Metazoa; Chordata; Mammalia; Proboscidea; Elephantidae. The record is from Rfam by way of RNAcentral.